UGCAUAGGAAUCUGCCCAGUAGCGGGGGAUAACUCGGAGAAAUCCGAGCUAAUACCGCAUAAGCCCUACGGGGGAAAGCGGGGGACUCUUCGGAGCCUCGCACUAUUGGAUGAGCCUAUGUCAGAUUAGCUUGUUGGUGAGGUAACGGCUCACCAAGGCAACGAUCUGUAGCUGGUCUGAGAGGAUGAUCAGCCACACUGGGACUGAGACACGGCCCAGACUCCUACGGGAGGCAGCAGUGGGGAAUAUUGGACAAUGGGCGCAAGCCUGAUCCAGCAAUGCCGCGUGCGUGAAGAAGGC
Molecule: ribosomal RNA, 300 nt
Filed under: uncultured Gammaproteobacteria bacterium
Lineage: Bacteria; Pseudomonadati; Pseudomonadota; Gammaproteobacteria
Description: bacterial SSU rRNA
Rfam family: Bacterial small subunit ribosomal RNA
Source: RNAcentral